GACUGAGCUGAGGAUGAAGGAGCUAAGCCCAUGUAACCCAGCUGAGCCAGGAAUCCUCCCAGGUCCGUCAGUCAGAUCUGCUACAUCCUAAUUUGCUCAACUUUUCAGAUCUUGCUAUAGAAUUUCCCCCUUAAGCAGACACUGCACAAAAAUGUGCCAAAAUAGACUAACAAAACUGCUAUUUCUUCCAGGUAACUGUUCAGGAUUGUGAUUUAAACUGGGUAAAACAGCCUUUAGCUUCAAAUAAUGACUUUGGCUUAAAACGUGGGCAUGCAGUUCAGCUUCACCACCUCUGUGGAAGCAGAUAGCCAAAAGUUUAUUACUAGAGGUCUACAAGGCUUCGAAGAAGUCAGUUUGAAAGAUUAACCUUUCCACGCUAUAUAAAGUACUAUGGUGACAAGAUUGCAAUCUCAUGUUUAGAAGGAGAAAAAGCAUGCCACAUUUACCGCCAACCUGAAAAGUUGAGAAAAAAGACGGACUAAAUGUAAUGGAACCACAGCUAGAAAAACAUUCUGGUCAUUUCACGUUCAAACCUUAUCUCGUAUCACCUGAGAUAAAGUGAUGCACCUUGGAAUAAUGACAGUACAUUUGCAGUUAGGAGGACUUCAGAGAAUAACUAAUGCUCUGAAUGUCAACUUAUUCUGUAUAAGAAAUACAAUGGGCAAUGUGACUUUUUAAUCUAUUUGUUAAUCCAUCUUGCUUGAGAGACUAGUAUCUUAAUAUUUUAUAAUCAGUUUGGGCUUCCCAGAAAUAAAAGGUGUAUUAUUCUGUAAAGACAAGGGCCUGUGUUCUGUGGCUUCUAGGGCCUUUGGGAUCUUGAGGGCAGUUGAAUUGGGGAUCUUGAGGGUGGAGGGGUACAUCAAAAUGACUAACCCCAAUUUAAAGCAUUUUUCAUUCAUUUGCAAGUGGUGUGUUGGGGAGUGCCAUUUAGGGGCCAGUUGGGGUGCAGAAUUUCAGGUGAAAGAACUUUUGAUGCCAGUGGUGAGAUGUCUUCUUUCUUUUAACCCUUUUAAUUUUAUGUUUUAAAAGCUGUGCCAUUGGCAUUGCAGGUGCAGCAGCAGGACUGGGUCUCUGACCACUGCUGAUAUCCUUCCUUCCUGUGGCCUCUAUCAGAGCUGUGGGGUGUCUUUAGCUUGGCUUAACAAAUUUCCACCUCCACUUUUCAUGGCCUCCUUAAUUUAGUAGAGGGAUGCUUCACAUAUCUAAAUUUCUACACAGAGCUAAGGAUGGUGAACCAGGCUUGGGAUUGGAUCUAGGACAUUUGGAGAACCUGAGUCCAAAUGGGGCAUGAGCCUUCUAACCCAUUAAGAACAGGAAGCCCCAAGCAAUCUCUGCUGCCCCCCUACCACCUUACUUUUUCUUCCAUACCUCCUGCAUAAGAGUAGCAGCAUGGUGGUGGGCAGCUAUAAUGAGAGGCAAAAAGGAGUAUAAAAAAUGUUGGGCACACGAGAUUGUGAUUAGGUAGUUCAUUUAAGGCAGGGGUAGGCAACCUAAGGCCCGGGGGCCGGAUGCGGCCCAAUCAUCUUCUAAAUCCAGCCCGUGGACGGUCUGGGAAUCAGCGUGUUUUUACAUGAGUAGAAUGUGUCCUUUUAUUUAAAAUGUAUCUCUGGGUGAUUUGUGGGGCAUAGGAAUUCGUUCAUUUCCCUCCCCCCAAAAAAAAACCUAGUCCGCCCCCCCACAUGGUCUGAGGGACGGUGGACUGGUCCACGGCUGAAAAAGGUUGCUAACCCCUGAUUUAAGGGCUCAAACUACAACUCCCAGAGUCUACUGCACUGCAUCAUACUCAGCCAAAUAGAUUACUUCUGAGUUUGUUCUAGCUAAUGAUUUUACUAUUGACUACUUAAGCAACAGAUCUGUGUAAGCCAUUCUUGUUCAGAAAUAAAACCACCAUACAAAAUACCAUUGUACUAAGUAGCAAGUCUCCUCUACAGAAUACGUUUUAUAAGUUGUGAAAUAUCUCACUUAAAGGUCAUCAUCAAACAAAAGAUCAUGCUACUUUUAAGUCUCAAUAAUUCAUACUCACCAAAGCAAGAAGAAGCAAACACCCAUGACUUAGUCCACUUAAUCAGAUGUUUCACAAAGUGUCCUUGAUUACUGUGAGCAUUUUUGAGGAGCCUAUGUAUUAAAUGACAGUGCAGUUAGAUCAGUGCAGAUGAUGCUGACGAAAUUCAGCUUCAGUUCAGUGAUGCCGGGGGGGGGACCCUUACAAGUUUGCAGAAUAAUAAAAGAAAGGUUGCAUUUUGGCACUGCAUACUAACAGGUUGGCUAUUCAAAUGUGUUCAUUAACAAUUUCUGGACCAUGAAACUGCUGUGUCUCAGCAAAGAACCUGAAAAUAAUUUGUAAUUUAAAAAAAAAAAACUUAUUUAGUAAAUCUGAGACAAAGAGAACUGAAUCCAAAGGUGCUCUUCUGUGAAUGGAAAGGAAGCAGUCUUUCCAGAUUUGGAAAGGCCUGUUCUUUGAAUGAAAGAGGCUUGGAUCUAGUGGCAGUGCAGUGCUUUUAGGUGCAGGGUGAAGACCAAUUUAUCUCCCUGAUCCUUUAAAUAAUUGAUUCAUGGUUUUUUAAUGCUACAUUAAACUACUGUUCUAGAGUUUGUGCUGUUUUUAUCAUUUUUGCAUUUAUUGAUAGAGGUUUAUAGCAUCCUGAAUAUGUGUUGCUUUGUGUAUCUCUAACACACUGUUGCCCAUUAGAUUUUGAAUUGCAUCAGCAAUCUUCCUUUAAAAUAGACUUUGCUAGUUUGCUCUGCCACUUUGAUUUGAAAUUGCUGUCUUGCCCCUUCACAGUCAAAUUACUCCUAGAACAGCAAAUUAUUCAGAGUUCACACUUGUGAGUAAGGCAGGUUCUCCAGGGUGAAAAGGUGUUAAUUAGCGACAGGAGCAAAUUGCUGUGCUCUGCCUCCUAGUCUAUUACACUUAAUCAUUAAUUCUGGGAUGCCUUUGCUUUACAAUCCACUCAAUUCUUUUAGUUCAUGGAAAGAGUUCUCUCUCUCUCUCUCUCUCUCUCGCUCUCUCUCUCGGUACUGGGGCUUUCUCAUAUGAAAAGUAACUGACAUAUUUCAAAACGUGAAUUUAAUCUGAUGUUGGCAUAAUGACAAAACUUUGAUGAGAUCAUGAUGCACAGUUAUUAUUACUAAAUAUACUCCUAUUAUACUUCAGUUUUCAACAUGGUUUCUGGAAAUAAAUAUUCACAAACACUAUUAUGUAAGCUAUCUCUGGAAAUAGAGGCAUCAACAAGACAGGCUGAUCAGAGUUUCUUAUAUUCAUUCCGUUUAACGAAGCUGAUCCAGUUCCAGUCAGGCUUUGUUGUAUGCUACAAGUGCCUUUAGUUAGAGCUGCAGAUUCCCAUCAAUAGCAUAUAUUCAGUUCCAGUUCAUUGAGAACUAGAUAAGCACUGUAAUGUGUACCCACAGAUCUCCCUUGCCAAACUGGGGAUUCAGUUUUUAACAACAUUUCAUUAUAGGAUUUUUGACACGCGCGAUUUGCCCCUCUCUGCUACUGAAUUAGAGAGAGGCAGAUCAGUCUACUUCUGAUCUGUGUCAUUUUCACAUAUUUUAAGUAUUUUUCCAUCCUCUUUUACGUUAAUAUCUGUGAUUUAUUUUAAAAACCUGCACAAACAUUUGCAUUUUAAAUAUGUAUUUAAAUGUAUGUUUGAACAAGGAUCAAAUACCUUAAGCAUCCCUACUCCUUUGUGUUUAGCUCUCAUCACAAAAAGCCUUAUCUGUUACAUACAAGUAUCCUUGUAGAGUCAUUGUUGCAGAAGUAAGUGGUAGGAUAACAAUGAAGCUCAAACCUUCUUUUUGUGCAAGAAACCUAGCUGAACCCCAGUUGACUGCUGUGCAGUACUUUGGGCAGUUUAAUAGAAUUUCUUAUUAAUUGCAGAACUGUCCUUGAGAGCUAUGAGAAAAAUUAGAUUGGACAGUAUUGAUUCCAAGCACUUCUAUUCCUCUUUGGGGACAUCCUGAGAUAACAAAACAUUCACUGAUAGGCAGAUAAAAUAACUUUCGCUCCCUCUGUGCUUGGUUCGAUCGAUGGGAAUCUAUUUGCAUAAGAGAAUAUUGGCUGUGUUAAUUUAGCCCUGGAAAUAUCAUGAUGAGAUGCUAUGGAUGUAGGAUGCUAAGUGUGUUUUUGGUUAAAUAAACACAAAAGAUGUUGGCACAUUUUGAAUUACCCCUAGUUAACCUUUUCAAAUAGCAAAUUAUUUUAUUGGGUGGAGGGAGGGACAUUUUUAUAAACUCCCAUUUUUAAUGCACUUUUUCAAGGACAAAAUUUAUACAGUACUUGUACUUCCUAGAAUUCAUAACUGAGAUCUGAACCAAAACUUUCCUUAUCACUGAAGCAUGAGCAAAGCACAUAUAUAUAAAACAGAAAAUAUAAUGAACAAAAUGUUUGUAUAUUUAAGAAUAAGUGUGUGUAAAAAAUAAUAAUCUAGUAAAUGGAUUUUAUUACUUCCAACACACACAUUGGAAUAGAUUCUAGAGUAUUUGCAGAAUUGUUGCAUGGUAUAGUAAUGACUGCAGUCUACAUUAAGCCCCUGUAGCAAUGUUUACUGUGUAGUGGCAACGCAUCAGUUUCUUCCUGGAGGCCUAUAUGCACGCCCAGCAGUGUAUGGACUAUGCAUGUGAUUGGCCUAGCACAAUCUAAGUUUAGGGUCCUCAGCAUGAGCACCCUCAGGCAUGUAGCCAUCAUAUGCACGCAUACUUUUUAGCCAGUGAAAACUUGCUGGCUGGCAAUUGGUCUGGAGAAACUGGUUCAUCAUCCCAUCUAUAUUGAGUGCUGUAGAUUCAUUGAUUGUCCUUGGUAUUAGGUACUCUUUUUUAGAAUGAGUACAUCUUUUAUAGAAUGUCUUUUAAAUGCUUAAUUCCUUAAUAUGUUCCAUAUGUUUAUACAUAUGAUUUGACAGAUGGUGCUCACUCCUCAGGCCAUAGUGGAGGAUCUUUUCAGAAGUUUAAACUAGGAUUACCAGUCCCAGGAUUCUUAGCAGAGAUAGCGUGCAGCAUUAGUAACAGUCGUAACAGUCACUGGUGGGAAAAUAUGUUGUUCGUGGGCUUGAAGUAGUAGCAGAUGGUGUGGUGAUGCAGUGGCACCUGACAACUUCCUAACAGCUGCUGCUUACCAGGAAGGGAGGUGCAAGAUGGUGGUGUCAAAUUCAGUGCAGUGCAAACACACUGGCAUAGUCAAAUCUGGUGUUUCUGCUGGUUCAUUCCUACCACCACACUUCUCCCUGUCUCUUCCCAGUAUCAGUAGCUCAGUUGUUAGGAGGUCAGGUGAGCCACCCCACCAACCCUUUCCAUUACUGCCUUAGGAAGCAUCACAGCCUCUACUUCCUUGAGCUUCAAAAUUAGUUUCUGUGUCUUUCUGGGCUUUUGCAAGCAGCUCAAUUUGAAUGCUUGUGAUAUCCCUAAUGAGACCUGCUUAGCCAGGACAACACUUCCUUUGUUAUCUCUAGUUCUUUCAGGGUCUCACCAUCUUGUCUCCGGCAUACAAAACUAUUGCAAUCUACAAGUAUACUGUACGUGCUAUAUUUCUUUCCUUUGGAGUGUUCUGCAAGGACAAGAGAAAAGACACAUUGAUAUAUACCGUAUUUGUAGCCAGUGGUCACUUUGAUGAGCUUUGACUUUUAUUUUCCUUCUACCAUAUAUUUAAGUAUUUGCCCAGCUGGUAAGUUUUCAUUUGUUCCCGUUAGAAAAGGGAUGAAAUAUUGAGUAACAUAUUAAAGACCUGAAAUUUCCCAAUUGUGUUACUGUUCCCUCAUGUAUCCUUGUGGGAGUAAGUGCAUUAUUAAUUUGAUCAGGGACUGCAGGAUGCCCUGAUGAAAUGAACAGGUUUCUUAGACGAAGAUAAUAGGAAAUGAGAGCACACACUCAGCUUAAAGUAGAAUUGAAUGUAGAGGUGCAUUACCAUGAGGGAAAUCCAUGAAAAAUGGGAGCAGCAGGGAGCUAAUAAUGCCUGCUCAUAUUAAUUUUUCCUAUAUCUACAGAAAUGCUUCAAAAGUAUUUCCUAUUUGCUAGAUGAGGAAUAAUGAGACCAGAGGUUAUUGAAUUUCUUUCCCCAUAAACUUUGAUUUCUGCCAUAUGAAUUUUAAAUGCUAAUGUAUCUGGUACCCUGAUCACUGUCAGAAACUCAUUGAAAGUUAAUUUGGCUGGAAUUCAUAAUAUCUGGCAGUAUUGAGAGGAACAAUUCAUUCUUGGAGCCUCUUUGCAUGAAAUGUAAACUCAGACUUUGCUACCUUUUCUCAUCAGGAAUUCAUGGAGAAUGAACAGUGAACAGGAUGAGAGACAAAAAUAUGCCUUUAUUGAUUGGGUGUCAGUUGAGAUUUUUAAAUCCAUAGAUUUUAGACUAAAAGGAUAUUGAUAAUUUUGUGGCUUUGUGUGGACAGGUGCAGCUCCAUGGUUUUGGGGACACUGGGCAGCCAGCACCAGCUCUUAUAGUUUAUUACUUGCUGAAACUUGCGGGUGUUGAGUGGAGUUCUGUGGCUGACAAACUUAUAGUUGCCUCAAACUGCCUUUCUAAUUAUGUUGGGCCCACCUGGUGAAUACAAGACUAUGAGCUGGGAGUUCCACUCAGUGCCACUGUUGGGUUGCCCAGUGGUAGUGGCAUUACAGCAGCCCUGAACAAGAAUUUGGGGGUAUGAACAGCAUAUUCCACUCCCUAUACCAUGGGUAGACAACUAAGGCCCUGGGGCUGGAUCUGGCCCAAUCGCCUUCUAAAUCUGGCCCACAGACGAUCUGGGAAUCAGUAUGUUUUUACAUGAAUAGAAUGUGUGCUUUUAUUUAAAAUUCGUCUCUGGGUUAUUUGUGGGGCAUAAGAAUUCGUUCUCUCCCCCCCCCCCCCAAAAUAUAUAGUCUGGCUCCCCACAAGGUCUGAGGGACAGUGGACCGGCCCCCUGCUGAAAAAGUCUGCUGACCCCUGCCCUAUACUAAGAGUUGCCUUCACAUAAAUGGGAGAAGGAUAAAGGCUCUGAGACUCCUUUUCCUCCUGUUCCACAGCCCCAAGGAAAAUUCCCCACCUAGGCAGGCAUCAGGAAUGUGGGUAAAAUAUAAAAACUUUCUCCCUUCUCAUCAAGGCUGGAUAUUGUAAAUCUGCUAGUUACAU
Molecule: long non-coding RNA, 7090 nt
Filed under: Podarcis lilfordi (Lilford's wall lizard)
Lineage: Eukaryota; Metazoa; Chordata; Lepidosauria; Squamata; Lacertidae
Source: RNAcentral